CAGUGGAACUUAGAGACACCUCCCAGUGUU
Molecule: non-coding RNA, 30 nt
Filed under: Rattus norvegicus (Norway rat)
Lineage: Eukaryota; Metazoa; Chordata; Mammalia; Rodentia; Muridae
Source: RNAcentral